This 249-nucleotide ribosomal RNA is filed under the name uncultured bacterium. RNAcentral describes it as "partial 16S ribosomal RNA". It matches the Rfam family "Bacterial small subunit ribosomal RNA", at positions 15 to 257 of the family's 1533-position model. The record is from RNAcentral.
GAUCCUGGCUCAGGAUGAACGCUAGCGGCAGGCUUAACACAUGCAAGUCGAGGGGCAGCAUAAUGGUAGUAAUACUAUUGAUGGCGACCGGCGGACGGGUGCGUAACGCGUAUGCAACCUACCCUUUACAGGGGGGAUAACACUGAGAAAUCGGUACUAAUACCCCAUAAUAUUCUGGGAGGCAUCUUUCGGAGUUGAAAGCUUUGGUGGUAAAGGAUGGGCAUGCGUUGUAUUAGCUAGUUGGUAAGG